This 253-nucleotide ribosomal RNA is filed under the name uncultured bacterium. RNAcentral's name for it is "partial 16S ribosomal RNA". It matches the Rfam family "Bacterial small subunit ribosomal RNA", at positions 524 to 776 of the family's 1533-position model. The record is from RNAcentral.
GACAGAGGGUGCAAACGUUGUUCGGAAUUACUGGGCGUAAAGCGCGUGUAGGCGGCCCGGAAAGUCGGAUGUGAAAGCCCUGGGCUUAACCUAGGAAGUGCAUUCGAAACUCUCGGGCUUGAGUUCUGGAGAGGAAGGCGGAAUUCUCGGUGUAGAGGUGAAAUUCGUAGAUAUCGAGAGGAACACCGGUGGCGAAGGCGGCCUUCUGGACAGUGACUGACGCUGAGACGCGAAAGCGUGGGGAGCAAACAGG